CUACGGGACGCAGCAGUGGGGAAUCUUGGACAAUGGGCGCAAGCCUGAUCCAGCCAUGCCGCGUGAGUGAAGAAGGUCUUCGGAUUGUAAAGCUCUUUUGCCAGGGACGAUAAUGACGGUACCUGGAGAAUAAGCCCCGGCAAACUUCGUGCCAGCAGCCGCGGUAAUACGAAGGGGGCUAGCGUUGUGUCGGAAUUACUGGGCGUAAAGCGCACGUAGGCGGGUCGUUAAGUCAGGGGUGAAAUCCCGGAGCUCAACUCCGGAACUGCCUUUGAUACUGGCGAUCUUGAGAUCGGAAGAGGUGAGUGGAAUUCCCAGUGUAGAGGUGAAAUUCGUAGAUAUUGGGAAGAACACCAGUGGCGAAGGCGGCUCACUGGUCCGAUACUGACGCUGAGGUGCGAAGGCGUGGGGAGCAAACAGGAUUAGAUACCCGGGUAGUC
Molecule: ribosomal RNA, 440 nt
Filed under: uncultured bacterium
Lineage: Bacteria
Description: partial 16S ribosomal RNA
Rfam family: Bacterial small subunit ribosomal RNA
Source: RNAcentral